This 47-nucleotide ribosomal RNA is filed under the name Sarocladium strictum. RNAcentral describes it as "partial 28S ribosomal RNA". RNAcentral also lists the same sequence under 1 other name. Lineage: Eukaryota; Fungi; Ascomycota; Sordariomycetes; Hypocreales; Sarocladiaceae. The record is from RNAcentral.
UGACCUCGGAUCAGGUAGGAAUACCCGCUGAACUUAAGCAUAUCAUA